Molecule: long non-coding RNA, 493 nt
Filed under: Rattus norvegicus (Norway rat)
Lineage: Eukaryota; Metazoa; Chordata; Mammalia; Rodentia; Muridae
Description: long non-coding RNA NONRATT019147
Source: RNAcentral
CACAGGCCGUGUGGUACACACCGUGGCCUACCUGGGCAAAAUGAACCCACGCAUUCGCUCCGGGGCCUAUGUUCUGGCCCAGUUCGCCUGUUUCUCCAUGGCCCUACAGAUCCUCUGGGAAGUGGCCCACCAUCUGUGACCAGCAGCUGAAGCCUCCUCAGAUACCACAAUGGGGGACGGAGCCAUGAAGGCUGAACCAGAGGACUUGGUGCCCCUUCUAGAACAGGGAUGGGCUCAGGUCCAGGGUUCCUGGCUAAGCUCAGGGUGAAGCAAAUGUUCCCAGCUCAGCCUGCUCCUGCGCGGCCUUGGCUCCUCCAAAGACUGAAAGUCAAGGAUGGGCUUUGACCAACCGCUAAAAACCGCACCUGUGAGGUUUGAAGAUGCCAAACAUCUACUCCUGUGAAAAAUCUCACCUAUGUGUGUGCAGUGUCCCUCCAGAGUCCUCCUGAGACCGGUUCAGGCUUAGCCAUUAAACAGCAGAGUGUGACCUGUG